UCAAUAGUCACAUGAUAGGAAAUGACUGUAGAAACUUGAAGAGUAUCAUCUUAUAAUAAAUUAGCUACCGAUUGAUACCAAGUUGGAGGGGUAUGAUUGUCCUGGAGCAAAGCUACAAGCCAGUUCAUGGAACAAGUAUGUUAAGGUGCCUUUUCUUCUGCUUCUGUAACUUUGGUUCUGCAUCUGAUCACAACUGUAGAGCUGGCUAAUGUUGUUCAGAGUAUCCAAAGAUGUCGUACAUGAGUUCGUUGAACUUCAAUGACAUCACUGUUGCUCAUUUCGACAUGUGAGUCGACUGUUCAUCACUCUCACUCUCAUUGCUGCUCUGUCAGUAUCUUCAUGCUCUGUUGCUAGAGCUUCAACAGGCAGGUGAGACGCUAUAUAUAACAUUCUUCCUACAAAGCAAGCAACUAUAGUUUUCAGGUUGUAUAUCGAGAAACGACUCAGCAGCUUGGAGUUGCUGCAGCACUUCCAGGAUUUGGGGUGGAAAAAUUUGGAGAGGUCUCUCUAGUUUUCUUACACAGAGAGAGCACAUGCAUGCAUUGUUUGCACAAUCGGUGCAUAUCGGCCUGAAUGUACUGCUGAACUUACAUGACGUAACUUUCUUCUAGCAAUUUCAUGAUCAUUCUAUUAAUUUAGUGUGUUGUAGAAUAGAUGAUAUAAGUUUGUUGAUGUAUGUGCAUUGUCUUUAUACCUUGCCAGAACUCAGACAAGUGGCUCAACUAGUAACACCAUGUGGUUGGUGUGUGAAGUACGCCCACUUUGACAUGCUCUACCGUAAUGAAUAUCCAGUAGAACAGUCCAGUUUUUUGGAAAUAUUCGGCAUCAGCCUUUAAACUAUUGAUAUGCAAACUUUGGAGCUGGGAGGGAGUGCGGAACCGUUUUUUACAUCGGCUAAUGUGCAGGUAGGUCAAAACCGCAAGAUUUGGUGGCUGCACAAAAAGCUCUCGUUGUAAAGCAAGACUCUGUGUUAAAAUUGUGAUAUACAUAUUGUUAUGAAGAGGAUGCAAUAACAAUAAAGAAGAUGCAAAUAUAUAUUGUAUACAUGCAAGGAAUAAAAAGUUACACUGAGCUAAAGUUAGUGCAGAAAUUGAGCUUGAAACCGCAGAUCCAGAUAGACAACAGGAAGUACUUCCGGUUCGUGAGGUAAAUUUUGCCUUGGCCAUUCGA
This is a long non-coding RNA of Halichondria panicea, 1170 nucleotides long. RefSeq lists it as uncharacterized. The record is from RefSeq and is a predicted model, not a curated record. The transcript has 3 exons. NCBI's taxonomy places the organism in Eukaryota, Metazoa, Porifera, Demospongiae, Suberitida, Halichondriidae.